RNAcentral lists this ribosomal RNA (458 nucleotides) under uncultured bacterium. Its description in RNAcentral is "partial 16S ribosomal RNA". It matches the Rfam family "Bacterial small subunit ribosomal RNA", at positions 338 to 795 of the family's 1533-position model. The record is from RNAcentral.
CCUACGGGUGGCAGCAGUGAGGAAUAUUGGUCAAUGGGCGAGCCUGAACCAGCCAAGUAGCGUGAAGGAUGACUGCCCUACGGGUUGUAAACUUCUUUUAUAAAGGAAUAAAGGGAGGCACGUGUGCCUUUUUGUAGGUACUUUAUGAAUAAGGAUCGGCUAACUACGUGCCAGCAGCCGCGAUAAUACGGAGGAUCCGAGCGUUAUCCGGAUUUAUUGGGUUUAAAGGGAGCGUAGAUGGGUUGUUAAGUCAGUUGUGAAAGUUUGCGGCGCAACCGUGAAAUUGCAAUUGAUACUGGCAGCCUUGAGUACAGUUGAGGUAGGCGGAAUUCGUGGUGUAGCGGUGAAAUGCUUAGAUAUCACGAAGAACUCCGAUUGCGAAGGCAGCCUACUAAACUGCCACUGACGUUGAUGCUCGAAAGUGUGGGGAUCAAACAGGAUUAGAUACCCCUGUAGUC